CUACGGAGGGUCCAAGCGUUAUCCGGAAUCAUAGGGUUUAAAGGGUCCGCAGGCGGUCAAUUAAGUCAGAGGUGAAAGCCCAUCGCUCAACGAUGGAACUGCCUUUGAUACUGGUUGACUUGAGUUAUACGGAAGUAGAUAGAAUAAGUAGUGUAGCGGUGAAAUGCAUAGAUAUUACUUAGAAUACCGAUUGCGAAGGCAGUCUACUACGUAUAUACUGACGCUGAGGGACGAAAGCGUGGGGAGCGAACAGGAUUAGAUACCCUAGUAGUCC
This 274-nucleotide ribosomal RNA is filed under the name uncultured bacterium. Its description in RNAcentral is "partial 16S ribosomal RNA". It matches the Rfam family "Bacterial small subunit ribosomal RNA", at positions 523 to 796 of the family's 1533-position model. The record is from RNAcentral.